AUUGAACGCUGGCGGCAUGCUUUACACAUGCAAGUCGAACGGUAACAGGCCUACGGGUGCUGACGAGUGGCGAACGGGUGAGUAAUGCAUCGGAACGUACCCAGAGGUGGGGGAUAACGCAGCGAAAGCUGUGCUAAUACCGCAUGUGAUCUGAGGAUGAAAGCGGGGGACCGAGCAGCAAUGUUUGGCCUCGCGCCUUUGGAGCGGCCGAUGUCGGAUUAGCUAGUUGGUGGGGUAAAGGCCUACCAAGGCGACGAUCCGUAGCUGGUCUGAGAGGACGACCAGCCACACUGGGACUGAGACACGGCCCAGACUCCUACGGGAGGCAGCAGUGGGGAAUUUUGGACAAUGGGCGCAAGCCUGAUCCAGCAAUGCCGCGUGCGGGAAGAAGGCCUUCGGGUUGUAAACCGCUUUUGGCAGGAACGAAACGGUGUCCGCUAAUACCGGGCGCUAAUGACGGUACCUGCAGAAUAAGCACCGGCUAACUACGUG
This 492-nucleotide ribosomal RNA is filed under the name uncultured bacterium. RNAcentral describes it as "partial 16S ribosomal RNA". It matches the Rfam family "Bacterial small subunit ribosomal RNA", at positions 29 to 507 of the family's 1533-position model. The record is from RNAcentral.